RNAcentral lists this non-coding RNA (24 nucleotides) under Cricetulus griseus (Chinese hamster). Lineage: Eukaryota; Metazoa; Chordata; Mammalia; Rodentia; Cricetidae. The record is from RNAcentral.
AAAGGAACAAAGAAGGAACUCCGG